Molecule: ribosomal RNA, 440 nt
Filed under: uncultured bacterium
Lineage: Bacteria
Description: partial 16S ribosomal RNA
Rfam family: Bacterial small subunit ribosomal RNA
Source: RNAcentral
CCUACGGGUGGCAGCAGUGAGGGAUAUUGGUCAAUGGGGGAAACCCUGAACCAGCAACGCCGCGUGAGGGAAGACGGUUUUCGGAUUGUAAACCUCUGUCCUCUGUGAAGAUAAUGACGGUAGCAGAGGAGGAAGCUCCGGCUAAAUACGUGCCAGCAGCCGCGGUAAUACGUAGGGAGCAAGCGUUGUCCGGAUUUACUGGGUGUAAAGGGAGCGCAGACGGCUGUGGAAGUCUGGAGUGAAAGGCGGGGGCCCAACCCCCGGACUGCUCUGGAAACUGUAAAGCUGGAGUGCAGGAGAGGUAAGCGGAAUUCCUAGUGUAGCGGUGAAAUGCGUAGAUAUUAGGAGGAACACCAGUGGCGAAGGCGGCUUACUGGACUGUAACUGACGUUGAGGCUCGAAAGCGUGGGGAGCAAACAGGAUUAGAUACCCCUGUAGUC